This 1008-nucleotide long non-coding RNA is filed under the name Heterocephalus glaber (naked mole-rat). RNAcentral's name for it is "lncRNA (ENSHGLG00100039638.1)". The record is from RNAcentral. Lineage: Eukaryota; Metazoa; Chordata; Mammalia; Rodentia; Bathyergidae.
UCUCUCUCUCUCUCUCUCUCACACUCCUCUCAAGUUUUGGUCUCUACUAUCAUAGUUAUUAAAUUGUAAAAGUGACUGACUUCAAGGAAAUCACUGAUUUUCUGUUUCGAUUUGUAAGUAGCACUGGGGCUACAAGAAAUACCAAACUUGACUACUGCCCAUAGUGUCUUGGACACGUAAGAGCCCUAAACAUGUCCACUGUCAUCCAAAGCAUGCAAGACCCAUGCCAGGAAGGAUGUGGGCGGUCCCCAGGAGAUGGGGGAGGGGUGGCAAACACAGAUAUGAAGAGAGGCAGUGGUCAGUAGCCCCGAAAGCAGCAGCAGAUGUCGACUGUCUCCUUGGGAGGAAGGAGAAGAAAAGGGAUGGAGAGCCCUCUGGCCCUGGAGCAGGAGAAAAUGGAAAUGUAGCAGAUGUAUAAGCUAAGCUGGAAGCUCUGCACAGAACUAGUUUGGGCCUGUCUCGGCAGGGACUUCUGCUUAUGAGACAUGAGCAUCAUGAAAGAUGAGCAAGAAAGAGGAAAAAAGAACAAGAAGGUAUGUGUAGUAAACAUUGCAAUGCCCCAUAUCCUCCACCCAAACUCUCCAUGCUCUAAUCCCUAGAGUCCAUUCAUAUGUUAACUUCAUCUCAAAGAGGAACUUUGCAGGGGUGAUUAAAUCAAGGCAUAGGGUGGGUCCAGUGUCAUCACCAGGAUUCUUAAAUGGGAAAGAGUGACGCAGGAGAGUCAGAGAAGAAACAUGAAAAAAAUGAGAGGAAAGUGAGGUGCUCUAAGGAAGGAGGAAGUUACCCCAGCCAAGGAAAGCAGGUGGCUUCUAGGAGGUGGAAAAGAUACAAAACAGUGUCUUUCCUAGAACCCCCAGAGAUAAUGCAGCUGUAACAAGGCCUAGAUUUUAUCCUGUAAGACCCAUGAAGACUCCUGACCUCUGGAACUAUAAAAUAAUAAAUUGAUAUUGUUUGAAAUCACUAAGUUUAUGGUAAUUUAUUACAGAAUAGGAAACUAACACAGCAUGG